GGGGAUACCAUUUGGAAAACAGAUGCUAAUACCGGAUAAAAGCUACUUUCGCAUGAAAGAAGUUUAAAAGGCGGCGUAAAGCUGUCGCUAAAGGGAUGGGACCUGCGAUGCAUUAGCUAGUUGGUAAGGUAACGGCUUACCAAGGCGAUGAUGCAUAGCCGAGUUGAGAGACUGAUCGGGCCACAUUGGGGACUGAGACACGGGCCCAAAAACUCCUACGGGGAGGCAGCAGUAGGGAAUCUUCCACAAUGGACGAAAGUCUGAUGGAGCAACGCCGCGUGAGUGAAGAAGGUUUUCGGAUCGUAAAAGCUCUGUUGUUGGUGAAGAAGGAUAGAGGUAGUAACUGGCCUUUAUUUGACGGUAAUCAACCAGAAAGUCACGGCUAACUACGUGCCAGCAGCCGCGGUAAU
Molecule: ribosomal RNA, 410 nt
Filed under: uncultured Lactobacillus sp.
Lineage: Bacteria; Bacillati; Bacillota; Bacilli; Lactobacillales; Lactobacillaceae
Description: bacterial SSU rRNA
Rfam family: Bacterial small subunit ribosomal RNA
Source: RNAcentral